This is a long non-coding RNA of Passer domesticus (house sparrow), 22579 nucleotides long. RefSeq lists it as uncharacterized. The transcript has 3 exons. NCBI's taxonomy places the organism in Eukaryota, Metazoa, Chordata, Aves, Passeriformes, Passeridae. The record is from RefSeq and is a predicted model, not a curated record.
GGCUGGAAGGGGGGCCGUUACACUGUAAGAGAGUGAGUAGCAGGUCUCACAGUGAACCGGUCUCUUUUCCUGCUGUGUCAUGCCACUCCGGAUGACUCCAGAGUAAGAGGGACAGAGGGGAAGCUGGGCUGGUGUGGUCUGGGAGAGAGCAGGAAUUGCGGUUGUCAAGGAGUUGUCGCAUUUCAAGGGAAUAAACAAUUCUGGUGUUUGAGAUUCAUUUAUUUAUUUAUUUCCUAUCUGUUUCUUCAGUGCACACCUUCCCUCAUAGCGUGUCUCAAACAGUAACUCCAGGCGUAGGAGGAGGAGGUGGAGGGGUGGGUUUUGUUUUUCCAGAUGUGCUGGGUAGAACAAAGCAUUCAUCAUUCGAUCUCAGUUUGGCAGAAACCCUUUAGAAUGGCAAAGCAGAUUCCCUGCAAUAGCCUUGAUAUGGAAGUCAUUUAAGAUGCAAGUCAAGAGCCCAGACAUGAGAUGCGAACAAGACUUAUGGGGUCAUCCAGCUUGUCAACCUAUCUCCGUAAUGUGACUGCUGGCAAUUUUGUUCCACUCUCUUAGGCGCUUAGGGAGACAAAGACACAGAAAACACAGCUAUAACUAAGCAAUUCAUUACUUUUUUUUUUUAUGCUGUUCUGUGUUCUAAUAAAAUUGGUGACAUUUUGGUCAGUGUCAGUGGUGACUGACUGUGUCUGCUUUCAUACCUUCAUUUUAUACAUUCCUGAGAGAGACGAGGGCGAAGUAUUGCACAAAGGUCAUCUGUCUCUUCUAGCUUCUCCUGUCUGACAGUCUGGUACCAUAUUUAUUAUCUCUAUAUAGUGGAUCCUUGAAACAAAGUGCAAAUCAACUUAGAUGGCAUUAUCUGCAUCUACUGUGUUGUUAUAAAACCAUAUUUAUUAGUUUAAUGCUACACCUAUAGCCUAGUGGAGAUUAUGGUAAGUGAUGUGCACAAGAGAUGGUCUGAUGUGUGAGUGAUGUUCCAGAGAAGAUCCACCUGUGUGAAAAUCCUAGUUUUAAAGAUACAUUGUAGCGCAGGAGCUGUUGAGUUCAGACAAUGCAGAGAUGCAAAUGCUAAUUUUGUUUCAGUGUUUACUGCAUAGUUUUCCUUACGUGUUUGGAAAACACGAGUCAAGGAGUUUUUUUAAAAUCUCUAGCACAUCAGUCUUUUCCCUGCAAUUCACUCUUUCAGCUGCCUGCUCAGUUGGAAGCAUUAUUUUUAUCUCUUGUUUAAAAAUGAAAACAUUGUGUCUACAGUUUACACUCCCUGCUGUGGUGAUGAUUUAAGUGUUUAUCUAUUCUCAGAUCUUGAGACAUGUCUGAGAACAAUUUUGCAAGCUAGUUCAUGCCUUUGGCCUCUGAUACAUCCUUUUCCCUAGUCAUGGUCCCAGCGUGUGGUAAGUGUGACAGGAAGCCGAUUGCAGUUCCCUACAGAUCUUGUUUUGGAGGUGGUGUAAGAAUUGUUCAGAUUUACAUUCCACUGCAUCUCUUGGCAUUUGGGAAACAAAUAGCUGUGUAUGACCAGAAAGUAGCAAUCUGCAAGCAAGUGUUCCAGACUUCCAUUUUCUUUCCCUCACAGACUUAGCUUCAGAUCAGCACAUGAGGAGCCAGGGAUAACAAGGGGCCGGAACAAGAAGCUAUCAUGGAAAAUAGUGUUUGUGAAACAGUGUAGUAUGGGAACACUGAGGAUGGGAAGGGUGAACAGAUGGGAAGGAGGCAGAUGAAAAGAUGAUUUCUGAAAUGGUUUCCCCAAAGACCUCACAUCACUUGCUGCUGCUUCGGAGAGAGGACGGCUGCGGUGCAGGCAGGCCCACGGGAGCCCAGCUGGCAGCCUGGACCUGCUGCUGGCUCCUACGGCAGGGCGAGCAAGGAGGCAACCUCAGCCUGGCAGCUCAGGAAAUAUUUUAUUAAAAUUAAAAGUUUGCCUGCCUGGAGGAGCUUUUGGAAGCUUUCAAAGCAACAAGAAAGAGUUCAGAUCUUACUUCCCCUACUUUGGGAUGCAGAGGUCAAAGUUUCAUCUAAUAUUAGUAAUUUGUUUUCAUUUUUGUUAGAAAAGGUCUCUUCAGGAUGAAGCGAUAUUGAUGACUUUUACAGCAAACAGCUAAAGUAAAAUGUCUGCACAGCAUCUGUGGUGGCUGAGGGAGCCUGUACUCUCUCGUGGAUCUGGAAGGAGAGCAAUAUUGAGUUAAAGUGGCUCCAGGCUAGAAAAAAGGAUGAGCUCACCUAAAAUUAGAUUAGAGUUCUGGCAGCAAUAAAUCAUUUGGAGAGAAGGCUGAAAACAUUUUGUGUGUUUAUUUGCCCUUUUUUUUUUAUUUGCCUAAGUGCUUAUGUGAGAACCUAAGUGGCCUAUUUCUGCCUAAGUGGCAGAAGCCUAGUACAGUGUCCCCCAUGAAGAUUUUUGUACAAAUGUCUGCCAUUUGAAUUAUGUUCAUUUCCGUUCAAGCCAAAAUGUGGUAUCACUGUAAACAGAAAUACCGUUUUAUCAUUCAUGCCAUUGUUGCUCUUCUUCAUUAUGCUUUUCUGCACCAUUUUUGUAUUCAGAGCUGCUCAGUGCAAAAUUUUUCAAAGUGUUGCCAUUGUGUGGGGCCAGGGUUGAGCUGGUGUCUGUCACACCACGGCGUACGUACGACAUCAUAGGUGGAGUCUUAUGGAGUGUUCAGGCAGGUAUUCUCAAAAACAGUAUGCUCAUUUUUCAAACCAUUUGGGUAUGCUGCUGUUUCCAUUUCUGCACUCUGUAACAGGUGAUACUGUGCAGUGCCCAGUUUUGUAAGCACAUGGAAGAAAAUAUUGUUUCUGUAUUUGCAUCUAGCAGUACUCUGUAAAUUGCAUGUCUGGCAUCAUCAGUAUUUCAUUCUUCAGUAAUUAUCUCUAUUUUGAUAGACUGAUCCUAGUUACUGUCUGAGUAGAAAAAUAGAGAUGUAUUGAUGAUAAAUCAGUAAUUAUUUCUAUUUUGUCAUGACAGAAGAAGUCAGCAAUGUUUUAUUUUAUAUCUGUGUCUCUAUUUUCUCCCAUUUUAGCAAAUGCUGAGCACUUUGAGGAUUUUUCUGAAGUGCUUCAUAAGUAUGAGCUGGAUAAAUACAUGAGUAUUAUCUUUGGAUAUGCAACUCUUCUUAUUUCUGUUCACAAAUGAGCAAGCAGCAACAAAUUACAUGAUUUUUUUUCAUUAUCUAGUUCAUUGUUGUAUGUUUGCCUCAUGUUCCAGAUAAUUUCAGAGUGAAGGAGAAAUUUUAUGGAUAAAAUAAUAUUUAUCUUCUUGCUUGGGCCUAGUUCUAAGAGGCUGUUAGCUUGAUUUAUCACGCAGUUGUAAGGUAAAUGUCUGUGGAGUGUGUUUUGCAUCAGCAAUGAAAUAAUCUUUUGCGGAGAUUAAAGCUAAGAUCUAUAGUACUUUGAUAGUAAGUUUUCCUGCCAAAACUUUAUACUAUAAUAUUUCAGACAAAAGAAGAUGUUAUUUGACAUAAUUUGUUGUUCUGUAAUUCUGGCAAUUAAUGUAAUGAUGUUAGGAUUUCUCAUACAUUCAAGAAUCAACAAAUAAUGCCAUUAUAACUUGCUUCAGGGCCCAGAUAUCAGGAGAAGACUCAGACAGCAUAGGAAAUCUCUCUUUUUUUUUUCCCUAAAAGCAACAGAUUUGCUUGUAGACAAAGAUGGUCCUUAUGUGAGGAAAGUAUAUAUCUGAACAUUGUGUGGAUGUACAGUCCUUUCUUAACCAGUGUUCAUGGAUCUUCUGUAAACAGCAAGUGUUUGUCUUGAAGAAAAGGUUCCUGAUGGAGAGGAGUAUUAUAAGUCUUUACAGCUUCCAGUAAAGUAGAAGAGAGCUAGUGGAGCCCCACUAUUGACGGAAAUGCUAGAAAGCCUUUCUGGAGUGACAGAGGCCAUCUCCAGCUCUGCUUCAGAUGAGCUCAUUACACAUAACUGCUGAUAAACUUCUUUUGAUCCGUGACAAGAUAUAACUGCUUUGGCCUUGUCAUUAAUUCAGGACACACAGAUGUGCUUACCAGUGUGUCAGAAUGGGAGGACGGUAAUAAUUGGAGGCAGGUAGAAUUUAUUAAACUUUCCCCAGUAAUAUGAGAAAAGCCUGGCACAUGGCUCUCCAUAGCACUGCCCAGGGAUGUGUGCUCUUCAAAGGACACCCCCUGAAGUACAGCUUGACUCUGAAGCCAGUCUUCAUCUAUGCUAGUACGUCAGAGGGCAGAAUUUAGCCCAAAGUGUCUUAAAAUAAUUUUUCAAUGCUUUACAUUAGUAAAACCCCACUGAGGGUUAAGACUUUGUCAUCACGGUUUUUCUGUGCUCUUUUUCCAAUGCUGCUCUGAGCCAUGGGAAGAGCAUGGCUUUUUCUGUGAGAUUGACCUGCUGUGAUCAGUGAACAAGUGUGCCCAGCAACUUGAUUCCCUCGCGGAAGGGGUGCUGCAGGUGGUGAUUGCAGUGUCCCCAUCCCAUUCUGGGUGUUAGCAGAGCUAAACCACAGCAGCUCUUGGGUCCCUUUGCCCACCGUGCUGAAGCCAUGCAGUAGGUGUGCCGUAGGUCCAUAGCCUGCAGCUUGCUUCAGUGCCUACAGCCUGGAAGCAGGAGGCACUUAUUUUCCAGCUUCCACCCAAGAGGUAGCAUCUAAAUUGUGACCCUCUGAGCCAGACUUUGUUCCAGAGCCAAUUUGUAAAUGCUUUGUAUGUCAGCUUUAGCUGGGAAGUCCCAACCUCUCUCACCAUUGUAACAUUAUCUUCCAAAGAGCCAAUGAAAAUACAGCUUUGAUGUGUUUCUUUUGGUGCUCAGAUGCCAUUGCAUGUGAGGUAUUAUCCUGAAAACCACAUUAUCACAAUAACUCAGGGCCUUUGGGCAUCUGAUGUUGCCAAUUGCUUUCACUUCUUGCUGGUAUGUAAUUUAUCACCAGUGUGGCCUACCCUGCUAAUAUGCACCCUUUGUGGGCAGAGGCGAAGCUAAUAUACUUUCAAAGUGUAUUUGAAUUGCUUCCAUAAAUCACAGCUGUCACUGUGAGCAGUUUUAUCACUUGCCAGAACAAUAUGUUAUGCUCAUGCUUUAUAGCCUUGGUACUAUUUUGAACUUAUAUUUGUCUAAAUUGUAAUGCAUCAUAACUUAUUUUAUCAAACAAAUUUGAGCAGCCCCAGGUUUUUUUAUUAUUAUUCUGUUUUUACAUGGAAACACUGUAAAGAAGAGAAUUUUUAUGGGACAUGCUUUAUAGUUGUAAUUAUUACUUUUUAUUAGUUAUUAGCUCUAAGAACACUAGAAGUUUGCUUUCUAUUUGUUAAUUUUCAUUCUUCUAAGAAGUUCAUGCAGCUGGGGCAGCUUUGUUUUUGUAGCUCAUCUCCUCUCUUACUCUGCUGUGUAGCAGGAAGAGCAGCUACAUGGCAGUCAUGAGCCAUGGAGUUGGAGAUGGGUAGGAGGAGCCUCAUUGCCUCAUAGAUUUUAUUUGCUAUCUGUGCAGAAUAUCCACCAAGUUAAUCAAUUGUGUGGAUUUAAAAUAAAAAGCCUUGUGAAAUCCAGAAGGCAAUUGCAGGCGAGCCAUCCUACCUGAGGAUGUUGUAGCAGGGCGGUCAUGAGUAGUAGGCAUAAUUAGUGCCUUCAUCUGGGAGUGCUUCCCCUGAGCCAUAAAAAGCAGCUGGGAGCAUGAGCAGCAUGAGCACUCAGAGCUGUGCCUGGCUCAGGUGUGGCCUGGGGAGUGGGACAGUUGUGCCUCAGCAUCCAGAGCCCCUCACCUGUACAAGGACCAGCUAUGCCCACACUGCCUGCCCUGUCCCAGGUGUGCGGAGCCGGGCUGCUCCCAUCUGUCAGCUCAGCCUCCUCACCAGGCUGGGUCCUGCUAACAUCACUGCAAACUCUGCACAGAUGCAAACUCAUCCAUCAUGUUUGUCUUCUUCUGCCAUAGUUGUAGAUCUCUUUGUGAGUGUGACCUGUGACUGGUUUAGGACUUCACCGCAAUAAGAGACUCUACUCAGCUCUUCUUUCUUGGGGAUGCUCUGACAUUAAAUGCACUGUUUCCAGAACAGUAAAAUAUCUCCUUUUUUACAGCCAUGCCUAAAAUACCAGUGAAUAUUUAUGAACCAAUUUGCAUGGCUUCUCCUGUGAUGGGAAAAAAAAAGUGUGGGUUUCUUUUUCUUUAAUUGAUGCAAUAGCUCAUUCCAGAAUAUGAGAACAAGGUCUAUAAAGUAGUCAGUUUUAUAAUUAGAAAAUUAUUUAUUUGCAGCAGAUAUAUUUGCUAAAAUGUGAGGAUUGCAGUUCUCUGUUUUUUAAUGUGAAAAAAAUAUGCUAAUUGUUUAAAAUUGAGCAGUAUCUCUAAUGGAAUUUUUUUAGGUGUAGAUCAAGUUUCUUGUCACGAGCAGUAGUCUAAAGGUAUGACUUAGGUUUGUCCUUUUACAGAAGUUAGUGUUUAUUCUCAAGGUUUGCACUCAGAAUGAGCAGUAGUUGCUAAAGAACAUUCUGCAGAUGUAUUUGCAGAUCCUGUGAUUUUCUCUUUUCAGAAAUUUUAGCUACACAAACAUUUUCAGCAAAUUGGCUAGGCACAUCAGCUACCACUUCAGAAAUGCAUGUUGUAAAUUUUACAUGAAGAGACAUUUUUGGCAGCUGCUUUGUGGUUUGACUUUGAGCAAUCCCAGAAAGGAUAUGUGAAAUCAGUUACUCCAUCCAGACCAUGUAAGCAAGAAACAAGUAUUUUAGCCUAGGGAUGAUUUGGAGGAUGGUACUGUAUUAAAUGCAAUGAUUGCUCAUGGAGGAAUUAAUAUAUAAUGAAUAUAUUCUUCUGCCCAUAUACAUAGAUUGUUUCAUAGGAUCAGAGGAACUAAGGGUGGAGGAUACUCCUGAUAUAUGUGAAAAGCAAAAAGCACUAAGAAACCUGGUUUUCCCACAGAAAACAUCUCUCCCACCUCAGCUGAGUCUGGGGAGCUGUCAGAUGUCUUUAGCAAGCAUUAUAAAGCCUCUGUAAACCCUUCCAGUUUAAUUUGAAAGCAUCAAUUUGUAUUGCUUUGCUGACAAAUUUCUGAUUCACCGACCUGUAGUUAAGAUAUUGCUCUGGCAGCUGACUCUUACUAUGCCCUCUUCCUCACCUUCCUGCCAGUAUUGACAGACUUAGAGCUCUGGGAAUGUGGCCCUACUCCUUGCAGGCACUGCCAGGAAAAAAAAAACAGAUCUUUUUUUUGGGGUCAAAGAAGCAUUCUUCAUCUAACUGAAAAUUUUGCAAAGCUCUGUGUGUAACUCUUAGCUAAUUCAGCACUUAAAGGUCUCUCCUUGUUAUAGAUUAUAUUGAAGAUCAGAUAUUUUUCCAUUGACUUUAUCAAUUGAAUAUAUAGCACUUUUCAGCACUGCUGGAUUUCAAAAUGUUUUAUGAAAAUGCCACCCCUCAAAACUUUAUUUUACAGAUGAGAAAACUAAUAAGCAGAAAGAAGAAGUAAUGCACUCAGAGUGUACUAGGUCCCAGGCAAGAAAAAAGCUAUCAAAAUUUAUGAUGUAUGCAAGGAAAAAGUUCUGCUGCUGCUGGCUCUCAAAUCUACCUUGACAACACACCCAGGCUGAUUUUCAGUAUUUAUGCUGAGUUGAAGGCUCCAUAUGUUUAUGGUCUUUAUUGUGUAUUUGCCAUCACUCUGAUUGCUUAGCUGGCAUCCAUCAGGAAUUCACACUUUGCAAAUACUUUUGGCCAUGAAGAUUGUAAACACAGCCUUGCUGGGGUUGCAAAAUAUUAAGUGUGCUGUGUGACAGCAAAUGUGCCGUGGCAGGUCUGCCCCAGUGAUUUCUGAGGGCGGACAUCACCCUGGAGAGACCCACAGCAGACAAAGCACAAAAAUUCAGAAAACUUUCCUACAUUUAAAUUUAUGCUAUGCUUUGGGGGAUUUUUGCUAAUGAAAGUAAAUUUUGCAUCAUUUAUAGUUGCACAGUUGCAGAUACCUUGAGAGGAGAUAAGGGGAUCAGGACUGAUCCUGUGGGUUUUUCAUAAAAGAGGUCUGCAUAAAAUGCUCUUGCUUGGAAGAUCAGUCUUCUCAGGCUGUUGCACUGGUUGAGUUAACCAACAACCUCUUCUGCAGCAAUAACACUGGACCAGCUAUAGUGGGCAUUUUCCAGCUAAUGUUCUGUGCAGUGAAAGCUGGGGAUGGAGGGGAGGUUUUGGUUCAUGUAGCUGAAUUGAGCCAUGUUCUGGCUGGACAUUAUGACAUCUGGUGACCAGGGGCCUGAUUCCAAGCUUUCCCAAGCCUGAAGAAAGACUGCCCCUAGCACAAGUGAGGCAGGGGUUGAGGGAGUGAUGCCUGCCCCUUUCCCAAGCACUGCUGUCAGCUUGUUGUCCAACUUGGUAGAAGCUUGGGAAUCAAUGCAGAAAAUAAGUGAUGUCUUCUAACUAAAGUCAGCUUCAUCCUCCCUCUCCUUUUCUCUUUCUUCAGCUCUCUUUGAGCCAAGAUUUCUUGGCACAGCUGUUCAGGAAAGCUUGCUGCUGAGUGUCAUUUCAAUUAAAUUCUUUUGUGAAUUAUGCAAGGAAUUUGUGACUCCAGGUGUUAAUCCUCUUGUUUUCAAAAGUGACACUAAACUCUCAGUGGAAAAGACAAAGGUGAAAGUUUACACACGCAAUGCAUUCCCUGUUUUCUUUUUUUUGUUUCUUUAUAUUUUUUGGAUGUUUAUAUUAUUCUGCAAGGGUUGAAAAUGCAUUUGCCUGUGAUGUGGAGAUAGACAGGCUUUGUGAAUUUAGCUGCCCGAUUCACCAAAAGAGUAUGUAAAACUGUAUGAACACAUUAUUUUGCACGUUCCUUGGCCAAUUGAAACAAAAACUCAAAUUCCUCUGAACUGAGACUCAUACCCCACACAUCCUCUACACCCAAGGCAAACUAAAAUACAAAACAAAAUUGCCUAUAGAUACUAAAACAGGAAAAAAAUGUUUUGGAAAUUGGUAAUGUUCUAUUUAGGAUGUCAAAGGGGAAUGUUUUUGACUUUUCCAGACAUUUUUUUCUUUUACUCACUUAUUCCCUUCUUCGUAAGAUGCACAGUUUGGCCACAGGGGAAGCUAACUGGGCACAGAUGACCACACCUGUGGUGUCCACUCUUCGCCUCCUUCCAAGAAAAAGCUUUAGCUGGGAGAUACAGCCCAGUUGUAGUGCAGUAAUCAAAUGUAUUGCUUUUGUACCUAUGUCAGAAUUGCAAUUAGUGUUUAUAUUUCUGCAAUUAUGUGGAAUGGAGUGGAUGCCCAAAACAGAUUCUGAUACUAAGUACUUACAAGCACUUUACAGGUCUUUUACUUCAUACUUCAAGGGCUAAAGGGAAGGGAGGGUCUCGAUGAUAGCAAUUGCUUUAGCAAAGGCUUCACCCAGUUACAUUAAGGCACUUUUAAUCAAGAAAGACAGGAAAUGUAAACUAGUGUCUGCAGUAAACUAAAUAGAAGGGUUGGUAAUUGCAAGGCAAACAUGAGUGGGAGCUCCCUGUGUCUGUGUCACAGAAGUGAAGUAAGGUAAACUCAUCCCUGAUUGCUAUUUGGUUUAUUAGUUGCCAGUAUCUCUUAGUACAUAGCCACUGCUUGGUCUGAUGGCUCUUUCAUACAGGCACAUACAAGUGCAAGGGCCAUGCAUUAAUGCAGGUUCAGUCCCACCUUGCUCCAUUUUUUCUCUUGUAGGUUGAGCAGUGGUUGUGCAGAAGGAUUUGAGAAAUUAAUUUGUUUCAUAUGUUAUAGAACUGAAUUUUAUUGGAACAGGACCUCUCUUUCCUUAAUUUCAUUGCUACCUGCCUGGUCAAGUUUUUCAGAAACCUUUUAAAGCAAUGAUAAGAAUAUAGUGUGAAUAAAUGUGCUUGUAUCUUUCCCACUGGAUCUUCAAGAUCUUCAAGAUAUUGAGCUCCCUGGUCCAGACAUGUAUUCAAGCCUGAAAAUCAUUGCUCUGAAAUCAAGAAAUUACCUUAUAUGCUUGAAAGUUGCACAAAUUCUCAAGGGCUGUGCUGUAUAGGGGCUGGAAUAACAUAGUGGUGUUGCAGGCAAGUGCUUCUAAUAUGGUACAGAGCUGGUUAAGGUUCAUUGCUAACCCCAGUAGUCUUUGGAUUGCAUUCUGCAUGGGUACACUUGGAAAAGAUGAGAUUUUUGCAGUUGGACCCAUAUGGGCAGACAUAUGCUCCAUCAAAGUCCUGUUGGCUUCAGUACCGUCCCUGCGUCUGUUUGCAUCGAGCUGGGGGCUGUAAUCUGCAGCUUGCUGUGUCCUUAUGUUAUAGGUAAACAAACAAACUCAUGGCUUUCUGUCUGUGACUUGGUACCUUUUGGUGUAUGCAGAAGCCAUGGGAAGGAAAAGUGCCAUCAGGCAGUGGCUGUGUCUUUGUUGCAGGCAGUAUUUACAGUUGAUGUUGUGUUAAUGAAAACUCUUCCCGAGGCUGAGACACAAAACAAAACCCAGCUUGCAAAGGUGAAAAAGCAGGGUUUGUUAGUGAUAUAGUGCUAGCAGUCAUUUACCCCAGUCUGCCCACAGUAAAAUGGAACACAGUGCAAUGAACAAUAUCAUCAGAACACUGCAGUCUUCUUCCAAUAGAGAGGAUGUGGGCAGGGCAGGAACCUGUACAUGGAGUUGUGUGGAAAAAAAACAGCUUGGCAGAGGCAGCCCAAGCCCAGGGACCGUCCAUCUCCACAACCCUGCUGGUGAGCAGCAGCCUGCCCAAGCAGUCCCUGCUCAGAAUAGGGGUCUGAGCACUCCACACAUAUUUUGGUGUAGUGCCAGAAGAGUAUUGUGUGGUUCUCCUUUUCUCUGGGUAAAUUAUUUCCCUUGGGUCCUUGUUUUUCUACCUGCAGUUGUCUUUUCUCUUCAGGAAUGCAUCGUUUUUGCUGUGUGACUAUUCCUUGAAGUUUGCACAAUAUCUGGCAUAUGGAGGUUCACUCUGAGCUUGUGCUUGUAGAUAUUUUAUCACUAUCAAGAGCUGAUGCCAAGAUAACAAGCUGAUAUCAAGAGCAAAGUUAUAGACAGAUUAAAACACAGGACUUAACAAUUUUUUUUUACUCUGACCUGCCAUUAUUUAUUAGGGGUCAGUCCAGAAAAUCAAACCAGAAGAGAUGAAUCUGCUGAAAUUCAGUGAAUCUGAAUGCCAGUGGUUUGCAGCUGGCAUGGAAAAUCUGAUCCUGCUCGUCUGUAUUUGUGCUUUUUUUGAAUCAUACUGAAUUUUGUUUUGGUGGUUAGCUGUCCCAUCGCACAGUUCCUUAGGGAUUUACUAAAAAAAUAUCAAUAGAUAUUUUAUAUAACUGUUAUUCAUAUCCAUGAACUGUUUUAUGUAAUACAAUGCAUAGACACAGGUACAUAUGGGCAGUAUUACAGCUGCUCUUCAUCUAAUGAGCAUGUCAUAUGCCAAAGGGUUCUGUAAACACUAAUGGGUUCUCACAUUGGUGUUUUAGUUGGACAUUAGCUGUUCAAAAACCUCCUAAAGAGGAGUUACAGCAGACCUCAUCAAUCUAACUCUCUGUGUCUACAGUAAGGGCUAGUACCAGAUUUGCAUCUGUUUCGGUCUUUAAGCCAUAAAUCUCCCUUAAGAGCAUCUUACAUUUUCUCCAAAAUUAUCUGUCUGCCUGCCCAUAGGUCUCAAUUGACUCUUCUUAAGGUUGUUGGGAUGGGUGGGCAGGAGCUGAGUGCAGGAUUAUUCCUGGAUGAUCCUUAGCACUAUUUUGGACCUCCCUGGUGAUGUGAGAACUGUGCACCAGCUUGCAAUACAUGCCUCCAGUGGCUUAGUUCUGUCAGGAUGAGAAGGUUUCACCCUUCUCAGAAUAAUGUAGUAUCCUCCCAGGUCCUGUAGUACCCUCCCUGCAGGCACCUCAGCUGGCUUUGGACAUCUGCAACACUCCAGUGUAAACCCUUGCUUGUGGUACUGGCCAAGGAGAAACUCUGUCUGAAGCUCGUUUCUCUAAAGCUGUUGAGCCUGUCAUUUGCUAGCUGGGUUACUUUUUUUUUACUUUUUUUUUUUUUUUCUUCUUUCUUGGUCUCCAGUAAAAUGUAGAAGCCUCAGAUUACAAAAACAGCUGCACAUGCUUUGGGUUAAUGCAUUUAAGUAAGGCUCCAGGGCCUGGGCAAGUGCCAAGAUCCUGGAUCAGCUGCUUUACCGGAAUUAGGCUGCUGUAAUGGAGCCCUGCAUUAUUGUGUUGCAAUUAUUUUGGAUUGCAGCUGGCUGUUCCCUGUGUUUUUUUACUGAAGUGAAAUAAAAGGAUUUGUCUUAAAAAUAGAAUUUUCUAUUCAGAAUCUUUCAGAAGCUUAGAGUUAUGUACCACGUCUGUAGGAUGUGCCCCUCUGUUUAUCUUUAGAUUUAUCUUGAAGGAGAAGAGCAAGAAAUAUUUGUCAUAGUUUUUGAAGAGCAGGAAGAGUGCUAAAAGGUCUCAAAACAUAAAAUGAAUGUGUAUUGGAAAGGAAAUAAAAUAAGUGAUUAAAGUGUCAUAUAUUUACAUGGGUUUAGGUUUUCAGAAAGAACAGGUUUAUUUUAGCAUCAAGCCACUUACUAGUAGCAAGUUCUUCUUAAAGCUGUCCCUAUAAUUUGAAAAUCCUUUGUAUAGAGAAGUAAAGGAAUGGAUACAGUUUUUAAUGUGAUGAAAAACAUUUCUCCAGCCUCGAGUCUCCUGUAUUUGUAUCCAUUCAAGCUCUUUUUGAUGCCUGUUUAUAUACAUUUCUUGUCAAAUAACAGCUCUCUCAGGUUCUCCAAUUGGUAGCAAAAGUAAACUGAAUGCAGUAAUUUAUCUUUGAACUGUUCAACUGUGCCCUUCUUCAUGUUCUCGUUAAUAAUGCCAGGUCUCCCAGGAGCACUCUCACACAAUUUUAUCACAUAAGCUUUUUGUUUGACCUUACCUGCUGUUCCCCUGGAAUAUAAGGGGGACAAAAAAACCCAAAAUGCCAGCCUGCCUUAAUUAAAAUUUUAGUCUCAGAAGAUGUUACAGUGUGUGAUUUCAUUAGGUAUAUAAUGAAAGUAUUUAAUCAUACCUCUUACUUGUCUGGGCCUUUUUACUCAGUAGUGAAGUCACAGAGUUUUAAACCAACUCUGUUCAGGUGUGGAAAGGUAACUGAGGGGUGGAUAUGCAUCUUUAAGUGAUUCAUAAAUUCAAUUUACCCAGGAUUUUGCAUGUUUGCCCUAAAGGUGGUUGCUUGGAUGAUGAAGUAGAAGGCACUAAAUAAAAGUUCAGCACUCUUUGCAAAAACAUUUUUUCACCCAUGGGACAGUGAAUAUGCAUAUAAAUGUUUUUUGAAAGAUAAUGCUAUUCCUCAUUUCCAGGUUGGAACUUAGCAUCAUAGAAAAAAGGUAAAAGAAUAUCUAUUCUUUUAAGGUAAUGGAUAUUUCUUUGACAUGUAAGAAGUGCUAAAUCUUACGUUGUGACAUGUGGUGUAACUUCCAUCAUUUCUCAUUGCCAUAAUCUAAAUCACCCCAACAGAAGGCUUUCUACCUCCCAGAUGAACUCAUUUGUUUUAUGCAGUGACUAUUCUCAAGGAAAAGUCUAUACAAAAAGCAGUCUUGGCUUUUGUAAAAAUGUACCUUUUUUAGUUUAUAUAGGAAAAGCAGAGUUAAAAAGUAUGUUUUUGAGGCUCUGAACCUGCACAUCUUUUGGACCAGGAGGAUUUGGUUUGCUAGGAAAAUUGUGUUAUUUCCCUAAUGUUUUUUUAAUCCCAUUUUGUUAGCAGUGGAGAACUGCUCCCAGUUGGCAUCAUUGUCUUUAGUAGCACGUGAAACUAUCAGUGCUUCAGAUGCUCUGUGCUUUGGGCUUCUUCCAGCCCCUGGAGGUGAAAAAAAAGUAAAAUCAAGAUUCAUAGAGCUUUUUGAGGAAGAAUAAAGCAAGUGGACAAGGAGGGGCAGUUCACCUGGGAAGAGGAACUUGCUAUGUGGGUGAUUUCAGAGCCAUUAUCCACAAAUAAAAAAUAAAAAUUAAAAAAAACCAAACAAAAACAAACAAAAACCCCCAAAACAAACCAACCAAACCAACAAAAACAAAACCAAAAAAACCCUAGUGUACCAGUGUAGCAUAUUUUCAUCAGUAGUUUUUACUGAAGCCAACAAAUAGGUUGGUCUGGAAUAAUUCAAAAUUGCAGGAAAUUUGCCAGUUUUAUUUCUUAUUCUGAAGCUGGCUGAAGACAUUUUUGCCCUAUUGCUUUCAUGGGAUUAGUAGCUUUGUAGGCCAGAGAGAGGAAAAGGUAGGGGGAAGACAGUCCAACUUCUUCUAUCCAGGAUUUGUGUUCUUUCUCUUGUGAAUAUAAAUCUUACUGGCUCAUAUCUUUGAUGCAUAUACAUCUUGUUGAGUUUCUUAAUGCAGCAGAAUACAGCUCUUUGUGUUUGAGUCUGACAACAAAUGCGGCUUUUGGUCUGGGAAGCAUGAAUGUGUUUUCUGCAAAGCUAUGGCAAAUUUAGGGACUCGGAUCUGUGGUUCUGGCAGCAAUUAUGUUUCAAGACUCAAAGUUCAACAUCCUGCAGUUUUAUAACCUCAGCUCUGCAGAGAAUUAUUUGAGUCACUGUCAUUGUAAUCGCUUUAGGAAUACAGGAAUACAUUUGCUGCAUUAUGUGUUUCCAGUGAAUGUAGCUGGAGUGCCAUUAGCUAAAAAUUGUUUUGAUCUCAAAAACGUGAAAGAAUCAAUGCCUCUAGUUUAAAAUUUUGAAAACAAAUCUAACAUAAUAACCUGUGGUUCCCCUGCAAGCUGUACUGUUGGAGUGGGAUGUACUUGUACCUGAAAUGAAAGAAGCCAAACUUGUGUUAAAAGGCUCCUCUUGUUUUUGGAGGGUCUGAGCUUGCCAAGUGCUGUGGGCAAAAUGAGUCUGUGUGCUGCUGUGGUUUUUGACAUGUGCUGUUUUAUGCGCUGCCUCGUACCUCCAUACCUUUUCUGUUGCUUCUUAAGACUUCCUUAUUUCAGGCAUAGGUAUUCUUGUUUGGCUUUUCCCCCCUUUGUAUGUGUGUGAAAACUAAGUAAAAUAAUUGCAUGGUCUUGUGUUUUGAGGGGAAAGGAAUGGAAUUUUAGCAUUCAGCUAUUAUGUACUUGUCCUUCUGGCUUGCAUGGUGUCCAGUUCACACCCAGAAAUUAUCUGUGAUGUUUUCAAGUAGAAUAUAAAGCUGAAAUAUCUUACUAGGUCAAGACUAUUUUUUUGUGUAUUCCAGAGAGAAAGCACAGUAGGAUAGACUGGGUCUAAUGGAUAGACCAACUGCAGCUGAUUUGCUUUGCAGUGUGCUUUGCACAAAAUUGUUUAUGAAGUGGUUUGAAUUUUAGCUGCACAAGAUGCAGUUUAAAUCUUCAGACUCACACAGAAAAUAACACCAGGAGGGAGACCUUAAUUAAUGUGCCUUCUGUCUGAGUCUUCCAAACUGCAGACACUUAGGGGUGAGGCUAAAAUAAAAAUUUGCUUACAUUUAUAGAUUAAUUUUACGUUCCAUGACAGUUCAGUCCAUCAUUUUCAGUGAAAAACUUGCCAGAUAAUGCUCAACUGCAUAACAAAAUAAAAAACAACCCCAAACCUUUUCCUCGGGUGGUUGGGCACCCAAUUCUAACACAUCACACCUGAACAUGAGAAGCCAGCAAGAGCACAAUGCCUUGGAGCUGCACUCCUCUAGAGGAAGCAGUGCGUAGGGGUGGUUUACAAUGUCAACAUAGGAGGCGAAACACCAACAACAUACUGGUUGCAGUCCAGUACUUGAGUAUCUCAUGCAAAGUCAGGAGGGACUGAUGGACCACUGGAACAAGAAGGGCUUUGUUCUGGCCACCAAAAACACUUGCCUGGAAUUCCUGCUCUCACUCAUGCUCAUUAUGUGGCUCCCACAACUUGGCCAACUGUCCUAUGCAAGAUUCCUCAAUUAGGCUGGCUUUCCUCCUGUUUUACAGGUAACCUUUAGGGUCUAUUUGAGAAUCCAAAGGUUCUUUGGGCUGCUUAGGGGUGUGGUUUAGUGGUGGAUGUACUCUAACACUAGUUAGAGCAAUGGCUGGACUUGAUGAUUUUAGAGGUCUUUUCCACCCUAAGCAAUUCUAUGAUUCAAUUCUGUAAUUCCAUUCUGUGACUCUAAGACAGUGUUCAAUCUUGCUGAACAUCUUGCUUCAGUUUUUUCCUCCUUCCAGUUUUGCAAAUACUUUGGGAUGGACCAGCUCAGAGCUUUUGGUAAAAAAGGAGGUUGUCAAAAACUUUACCAAAUGUAUUGUCUAUGAGUGGUAGUUCUACAAUGACAUUUUUUCUUCUCUGAUUAUAACUUAAUCAUGGACAUUGUAAAUUUGUAUUUUUAGAAAGUAGAAGCCACAUCUAUCCACUUUAAUACUUUGCCCAUAGCUUAUUUUAAAAAGUAAAGGAGAACGUAGCCUAGUAAAAUUGUGGGAAUAGAUAUCAACCAUAUUCUUCAGUCUACAAAGUCUACUGAGCACUACUCCAGCCCAGGUAAAGUAAACUAAAAUAGACCAGAAAUAUCCCUCUGAAUACCCACUGUACACAGGUGAACUCUGCCUGUGGAAUGAACUGGGUGGCAUUGCCAGCCUGUGAUUAAAGGGAGGAGAGGCUGGGGACAGGAUCCUGUCUCACAUGCAAAAGAUCAGUCCUUUUGCUUGGGAGGCACUAAAUAUGUUAAGAGCUAACUGGCUAACAUUUUCUUAAGUGUUUAAAAUCUGGAAUGUGUCAUUUAAUGGUCUGACUAAUACUGGACCAUGAGCAUAUUCUGAUAAUUUUUAUUACCAGAACUACUUAUUAAACUGAUUAAUACCUUCUAUCAAGAUGUCCAUCCUCAUUUUAGAGGUUUUAAGUGAUACAAAAGUUCUUCCACUCUCAGUAAAUUUCCUUCUUGUUAAUUAUAAGUCUGAUGAAACUUUGAAUUUUUUUUCUAAUCCGAAAUUUCUAGGUUUAUCUUCCAGACAUGUAAUUUUAUUAUACCAUUUUCUUGUCUGUUCAAGAACUAUUGUUACAUUUUAACCCCAGCCAACAACUCAGCUCCAUGCAGCUGCUUACUUGUUCUCCCCAGCUGCACAGAGAAGAGAAUCAGAAAAUUAAAAAUGAGCAAACUCAUGGUUUGAGAUAAAGACAGUUUAAUAGGGAAGCCAAAAGCUGUGUGUGCAAACAAAACAAAAAACAAAGAAACCAUUCACCACUUCCCAUGGGCAGACAGGUGUUCAGCCACCCCCAGGAAAGCAGGGCUCCUUCACACCUAAGAGUUAUUCAGGGAGAAAAAUGCCCACUCUGAGCAUUUCCCACUCCCUUCUUACCUCAGCUUUAUAUGCUGAGCAUGUCAUAUGGCAUGGGAAAUUCCUUUGUUCACCUGUGUCUCCUCCUGAAUUCUUUGUUCACUCCCAGCCUCCUUGCUGAUGGGAUGGUGUGAGAAGCAGAAAGUCUGAGUAAGCACCACUCAGCAGUAACUAAAAUAUCCCUGAAUUAUCAACUCUCUUUUCAGCACAAAUCCAAAACUUCCUCUCAUACUAGCUACUAGAAAGGAAAUUAUUUCUACCCUGGCCAAAACCAGUGCAUCUAUUUGCAGGUACUUCUUUUUCUUUUGAAUAAGUUGAGCAGAGUGAGCUCAUUAAGCCUUUCAGAAAGAGGUGUGCUUCCUGACCACAAGGACCAUGUUUUCAGCUUGGUUUUCAGCUCUUACAAGUUUUGGGGAGCCUUCUGCAAAUGUAAGCAACUUCUGUGUGCAGAAUUUGCUGUUAAAAUAUAUUCAAGGGCUUCACAGAGUCCACACCAAGAGUUGGUGCUUAUUCUCCUUGGCUUUUUCAUGUGAGCUCAAAUUCAGUCUCUUCCCAGUGCUCCUGGCAGUUGCUGCAGGGGCUGAACUGGUCUACACUGGGGGAGGGAGGGGAAAGGAAAGGGAGGAUGGCAUAGGGCAUCAGAAGGGCACUGCACUAAUUGCUGAGCAGGCAGGAGCACACCCAGAUUCUGUGCAGCAUUCCACCCGGCCCAGUCGCCUCUGCUUGAAGUUUCUCUUUUAAGUUUCUUUUGGACUUUUCUUGCCUAAGCCAUUGCAGUGUGUUUCUGAGGUACCUGAAUUUUAGGUGGCACUACACUGAGUAAUGCAGAAAGGGAGCAGGUGAGCUCUCAAAUCAUGUUGCAUCAAAAGCACUAUGAGUGGAUGUGUUUGCAUUGGCUGGGCGUGGGUGCAAGGAGUCUGUUCAAAUGGAAAGAGUACAAUAGGAUUUGCAGUUCAGGGACUCUCCCCUGCACUCGUCAGACACUCUUUACCCACAGUGCUGAUACACAUGUUCCCAACAUUGGUAACGCAUGCUUCAAAUCUGAAAUGAGCAAUGAAACAGUCCCUCCCACCAUGAAUGUGCCAUUCAUGAAGGAUGUAUGCUGAGGCCAGGAGAGCACCAGACACAUUUUAAUUGCAGCUCUGGGUGUAAAACUACUGGCAAAGGUGUAAAACUGCUGCAUUUUGUCUUUUGAGCUGCAUAGCCUCAUUAAGAAAGUGAAACAUUUGUGAGUCUUUCAUGCAGUCUUUCUCCCCUGCAAUGUUUAAGUUAGAUGACUUUCAGCAUGGUGAGGCAGGCUGUAAAGGUUCAGACAAUUACCUUGAUGAUAUGACGGCCUCUUCCAUUUCAGCUGGAAUCCAAGGCUCAUCUUUCCUCUGAGGCAUUUGUUGAAAUUCUGUGCACGAUUUGUUCCUCUGGUUGUUUAACAAUGUCUCUCAUGUUUGCCCUGAUUUAAAAAAUCCUCCUUUGUAGCAGAGAUAACAUAGAGCAGGAUGAUAUAAUUGCAGUAAAGAGGCCCUGGAGCUUGCAGUAAUAGGAUGGUUCAUCUGAUGUGUACUGCCAUUAGAAAAUAACCCACGUAUGUAUGUUCUCAGGGGACUGUAAAGAGGCUUUUAAGGAUUACUCUUCAUGUAGUAUGAAAGCUAAUGAGCAAAAGAGCAAGUGAAAAGAAAACUAUUGCUGCAUAAGCAUGUUGCCACUUCCUGUUCUCACUUUUCUUACACUUGUGUAGCUCCAAAAUGUCCACCUCUGCCCAGUAAUGGUUUCUCAUGCACUGCAGUCAGUUUCCAAGACUUUUGAGACUACAGUAUUAUUUCCAUGUCGCUGAAAAGUAAAUAGCACAUGAAAAGCAUGGUGUAGUUUAAGACUGUGCUGUGUGUGUACAAAUUAAGUAAUUUUGGUACAAAUGGCAAUCUCAUAGUCUGUGCUUGAGGAAAAGAAAAAAAAAUAAAGGAUAUAGUUUCACAAACAGUGCUAAAAGGUUGAUAUUAGUCUCAAUUCUCCCACCUCCAUUCUUUUUCCUGCUCAGAUUGCAGAAACAUACAAAGAUAUCCACAUCCAGUAAACACUGGAGGACCUGUUUCAAAUAUUACAUGGAGAAUUUGGGCUGCAGUGAUAAGAAAUUCAGAACAGCUGGUUUCUGGUAUUAACAACUUCUUGUUCAAAUGGAUUGCCACUUAUACUGCCAAUUGUUCUACUUUCAUUUGUGCUGAAACAGAAGCCAUAUAGCAGAACAGGUAUUGGCUUUUUUGUUUUGUCACAGCAUUUUUUUUCUUGCUUAUAAAGCUUGUAGAUAAAAAAAAUUAUUCACUUUUUAAUAUUCUCUGCCUCCGCUGUAAUGUUGGAAUAUACUUUUGUACUUUUGUACCUUGUCAUGUUUUUAGGUUCAAUAGAAUGGACAAACCUACAUCUUUCUUCAUGUAUUUAAUAUAAUAAAGGGUCGGGCUUUGCUAUCAGGUAAAAUUAAGUGGAUUUAUUGAGGAAGAUCUUGAAGAAGAUGCUGGGUUUUGACUAAAUGCUAUACUGGGUUCUACAGCAUGGUCUGGCAUCCAUAGCUUCAUUUAAUUCCAAACAGUACUGAUGAUUAAAAAAACAAAGUCCAUGAAUAUUAAGUAAGGAAAGAUGACAGCCGGCGUCUUUGCAAACAUACAUACAGGCCAGUAAACUUCUUAAACAUCCCCAUUUCUACUCACAAGUCAGGGCAUUAAAUAUUCAAGAAUGCCUCCUUCUGGACAAAGAAGGGACUUAUUUUCUCGUAAAUUCUUAGAGGAUUCAGGACACAGCCUAUUUGUUCCCAUCUAAUCAAAUUGGAAGCAUGUUAGAGUGCAUGUGAAGUAUUUGUAUUGAGGCUUUUCUGUGUGGUCAGAGCAUUGCAGAAGGCUUACACAAGGAGUGGGAAAAAGGUCUUAUUCUCACUUUCAGGGAUGUAACUGAUGUACUCAGCAGGUUGGGGCAGGGAUGAGGAGUGCACAUGUCCUAUGGUCAGGAGAAAUUGCUAAAGGCCUUGAAGAGUGUUGGCAUAAGAUUGUUAAAAUAAUAAUGCACAGUCCAGUGAACCUCAGCUCUUCAGCCUAUUUCUUUUUCAUAUUUCUGCACUUAAAAGCUGGAGUGGUUAUGUCAUGUACUAAGCAGUGCUUCCCAGUACAGAGGAGAUUUUCAGGUCUGGAUGUUUAUGUAUGCAUGUGUGUCAUUUGAACUAGAUGGUCUUUAAGGUCCCUUCCAACAAAACCCAUUCUAUGACUCUAUGUUUUUGUAAUAUCCCCAGGAGAUCAAGCCUAUACAUCCAUCAUACAGGUAGCUACUUCAACUUUUCCACGACUUUUUGUUUCAGUUUGAUAGUCAUAUCUGUCACAUUUGGAGAAUAUGGAACACAAAGCUGAGGUGAAGAUAGAGCUGUGUAUUUAAACACCCAGUAGGGCGUUUGCAGUAGUCUCAGAAAAGUAAUGUUAAUGCCAUCAUAUCUACUAGAGAUAACAGAAGGGCUGCUUUCUACUUGACCCCAGUGGUGUCUGUCUGUCUCUGCAGAGCACCAGUCUGCCACCCUGUGCUGGUGCAUUACAAUCCAGCUCUCUGAGCCCAAAUCCAGUGUUGGGUUACAUUCCAUAAAAGUGUCACUUGAUCCUUGGCUCACUAUCCAUCUAUGGUUCUUUACACUUCUGGGAUUUAACUUUAACAACUGGAGGUGAGAGGAGAUGAAUUUCGUGUUGCUGUUUCUGCUGUCAGUUGACACCCCUCUACUUAAACUUCUAGUCCUGCAAAUACCAGAAGAGCAAUACUAAAUUUUUUAUUUCUGUCCUUUAUCCCCUCCCCCCCAUAAUUGGUGUACUGGAGCAGAAGAGAACUUGGAAUUUUAUUAUUGCUGUAUAAGCCUUCUGUAAACUCAGUUACAGCAGUUCUGAUGUUGGUAAUUUUUAUGACUAAAAAAUAUGCUGACACAGUGUUUGGGCAUAGGAAAAGAGCAAAUCUGAAUGUAUAAUAAUCUGGUGAGUUUGGGCGAUGUUUAAUGCUAUGUCCCAGCCAAGUUAAUCACUCAUGGAAUUAUUUUUUUUUAAUAUUGGUCAGUUGACUGGAGACAUUAAUCUCUGGAAUAGCAUCUUUAAUGGAAAAUACUUGACCAGAAAUCUUAACAUUUCCCUGAAGAACAGAUUUAGAAGGAAAGCUAUCAACUGACAAUAGACCAGGAGAAACAGACAUUUGUUACUUAAUUUCUCUCACACAGUGAAGAAAUAUCCAGAUGAUGGUUUUCAUUUUGUGUAGUAUAUUGAACAAGUUACUCAUUAAUAUAAAUUGAGUAGACAUGACACAAUUUUUUCAUAGAAAGAUGACACAGAGUUGCUCCUUCUGGUAGUUCUUUGUCUGAAAUAUGCUAAUUGUAAAAACAUCACUACAGAGUUAAUAGUGCACUGCAUAACUGCAUGUUUAAAAUAUGAGUGCUAAAGAACACAGAAUGUGUUAAGGAGAAAUUAUUCAUAGAUUUAUAAUACCGAUAUCUGGCCGCAUUUUUCAAGGGCAGCAUCUUCCUGCAUAUUCCUUUCCUUUCCUGCUUUUUCUGUGAAGUUCUUAAUUGCUAAAUAUCACCAUCACCCAACCAGCCCAGUUCCAUCUGUCUAGGCUCAUUCCCAGGCAAAAUCGCAUUGCUGCUGCACAAAUUUUUUAUUUGUGCUUGCCUUCCCAUCCACACUGCUGCCUCAUUAGCGGCUUGGCUCUCUAGAUCAUACAGUCUUUGCCUAUUUCUCCAUUAGUCCUAGAGCAGCCAUCCCAGCAGAAAAUCUGCAGUACUGUGAUGACUUUGAACACAGAGUUAGUCACAUGUUAAAACAGAAGCAUCAGCUUCUCAUACUUGUUUAGUGUUCCUAUCGAGCAAUGGGGAGAAUAGUCCCUAAUUUAUUAUUUUCCUGCUUUGACACACAUGAAAAUAGUACAGUGGAUUAUUACCCUUAAUAUGCUCUAAUUGCAUAAAAAACCUUGCAAGUGAGAGCCAGUGUGUAUAGAGGUGUUCUUCUUGACUAAAUAAAGGCUUCUCUGUUUAUAUUGAGCUAGGGAGCUGCAUUACAAGGAAGGUAAGAGGGUAAGGUAAGAAUUGCAACCUGAAAGAAAUUGUCAGGUUAGGCCAUAAAGGCCAAAUGCUGAUGUCCUUGAAGUUGUUGGUAGUUUUGCCUCUGAGGAAGUAGCCAAAAGACAGUAGCACCCUGUGUCUCUUCAGGGCUUUACAUCCCUGUGCUGCAGUCAGACAGUCCUCCAGGUGGUCUCUGCCACAGUGUCAAAAAGCAUAAUGAAAGUGUGCUGCACACUCAAGUCAGCCUGCUAGGGGUGCCAGCUCAUGGCACUUGUUUAUUGCACUUCAGUUUUCAUUUCCAGUAAAUUUCUGCAGGAAUGAGUAAUUUUUUAACUAACGCAGAUAUAAAUGAUGGGAUCAUUUGCUGGACCUUGGAACUGUUGUAAUUUUGCCCCUACAAGCAGCAGGGUAUUUGAAGAUGUCUUUCCUC